AUGAUUUCUCCCAAUUCAACAAAGUCAGGUACUACUCAUGUUCUUUCAUGCUAUGGAGCUACUCGAGGCAGCAGAACAUUAUCCCACACGAAGAUGGGGAUGGCCAUGCCCGUGCUGAUGCCGUCGGCCGUCGGUGAGAGCAUCACCGUCAACAACGGCUCCAGCUACCUCUCCAGGAGCUUCUCCAUGAGCUCCUCGGGUGACACCAACUCCAACAUCAUGUUCUUCAUGCCCGGAAGCAAAAAAGCGAAGGUGCUCAUCGACAGCGACGAUGGCAUGGUCACCAGCCUCAGCAAAAUCGAAUCCCAAGUAGGACAAGCUUCACAUUUUGGCAUGUCAACCACGUCUUUAGACAUGUCCGGCAUGGACGACUAUCUGCAGCUGCAGCAAUACUUCAUCGCCUACACAGUCUGCACCAAGCGUGGCUGCGCCACUCACCCACGAAGCAUCGCUGAGAGGAUUAGAAAGAAGAGCAAGGAAUAG
This 483-nucleotide ribosomal RNA is filed under the name Triticum aestivum (bread wheat). RNAcentral describes it as "partial small subunit ribosomal RNA". Lineage: Eukaryota; Viridiplantae; Streptophyta; Magnoliopsida; Poales; Poaceae. The record is from RNAcentral.